RNAcentral lists this ribosomal RNA (254 nucleotides) under uncultured bacterium. RNAcentral describes it as "partial 16S ribosomal RNA". It matches the Rfam family "Bacterial small subunit ribosomal RNA", at positions 524 to 776 of the family's 1533-position model. The record is from RNAcentral.
UACGGGGGGAGCAAGCGGUGUUCGGAUUUACUGGGCGUAAAGGGCGCGUAGGCGGCCACCGCAAGUCGGUUGUGAAAUCUCCGGGCUUAACCCGGAAAGGUCAAUCGAUACUGCGGGGCUAGAGUGCAGAAGGGGCAACUGGAAUUCUCGGUGUAGCGGUGAAAUGCGUAGAUAUCGAGAGGAACACCUGCGGCGAAGGCGGGUUGCUGGGCCGACACUGACGCUGAAGUGCGAAAGCUAGGGGAGCGAACGGG